AACCGAUCCGAUGUCCGAUGAGUGUUGC
This 28-nucleotide small RNA is filed under the name Bombyx mori (domestic silkworm). RNAcentral describes it as "ovarian small RNA-10320". Lineage: Eukaryota; Metazoa; Arthropoda; Insecta; Lepidoptera; Bombycidae. The record is from RNAcentral.